RNAcentral lists this ribosomal RNA (253 nucleotides) under uncultured bacterium. RNAcentral describes it as "partial 16S ribosomal RNA". It matches the Rfam family "Bacterial small subunit ribosomal RNA", at positions 524 to 776 of the family's 1533-position model. The record is from RNAcentral.
UACAUGUGGGGCAAGCGUUGUUCGGAAUUACUGGGCGUAAAGCGUGCGCAGGCGGCUUCUCAAGUCAGGGGUGAAAGCCCAGAGCUCAACUCUGGAAUUGCCUUUGAGACUGAGUGGCUUGAGUACGAGAGAGGUGAGUGGAAUUCCCAGUGUAGAGGUGAAAUUCGUAGAUAUUGGGAAGAACACCGGUGGCGAAGGCGGCUCACUGGCUCGUAACUGACGCUCAUGCACGACAGCGUGGGGAUCAAACAGG